CGUAGGGUGCGAGCGUUAAUCGGAAUUACUGGGCGUAAAGCGUGCGCAGGCGGUUUUGUAAGCCAGAUGUGAAAUCCCCGGGCUUAACCUGGGAAUGGCAUUUGGGACUGCAAGGCUUGAGUGCGGCAGAGGAGACUGGAAUUCCCGGUGUAGCAGUGAAAUGCGUAGAUAUCGGGAGGAAUACCGAUGGCGAAGGCAGGUCUCUGGGCUGACACUGACGCUCAUGCACGAAAACGUGGGGAGCAAACAGGAUUAGAUACCCUGGUAGUCCACGCCCUAAACGAUGUCGACUGGUUGUUGGGGGUUUGACACUCUCAGUAACGAAGCUAACGCGUGAAGUCGACCGCCUGGGGAGUACGGCCGCAAGGUUA
RNAcentral lists this ribosomal RNA (371 nucleotides) under uncultured organism. RNAcentral describes it as "bacterial SSU rRNA". It matches the Rfam family "Bacterial small subunit ribosomal RNA", at positions 526 to 896 of the family's 1533-position model. The record is from RNAcentral.